Molecule: ribosomal RNA, 274 nt
Filed under: uncultured bacterium
Lineage: Bacteria
Description: partial 16S ribosomal RNA
Rfam family: Bacterial small subunit ribosomal RNA
Source: RNAcentral
AUACGGAGGCUGCGAGCGUUAAUCGGAAUUACUGGGCGUAAAGCGCGCGUAGGCGGUUUGUUAAGUCGGAUGUGAAAUCCCCGGGCUCAACCUGGGACCUGCAUCCGAUACUGGCAGGCUAGAGUCUGGUAGAGGGGGGUAGAAUUCCUGGUGUAGCGGUGAAAUGCGUAGAUAUCAGGAGGAAUACCAGUGGCGAAGGCGGCCCCCUGGACUGAGACUGACGCUGAGGUGCGAAAGCGUGGGGAGCAAACAGGAUUAGAAACCCUAGUAGUCC